AGGCAUGCUACAUUGAUCAAAGAGUUUUCAGGGCUACCAACCUUACAGUAGAGGUUGAGUCAUAGUAUAUUUCUCCUACACUA
Small nucleolar RNA from Myodes glareolus (Bank vole), 83 nucleotides. RefSeq annotates it as small nucleolar RNA U109. Lineage: Eukaryota; Metazoa; Chordata; Mammalia; Rodentia; Cricetidae. The record is from RefSeq and is a predicted model, not a curated record.